AGGUCAUCAUAUUUUCAUUGCCAGAAUGGAAGAAGCUGGUGCCGGUGGAGUUCUGCUGAGUCCCAUGGCAUCUUUGCAUGAAAUCCUGAGGGGUUAUCUCUUGUUUUAUACUGGUCCAUUCUCCUGAUUGUCUAGAAUUGAUCCAGAUUGCGAUGUUUCACUUCAGAACAGGGAUGAAGAGAGUAUCCAAAGACUCAGGGAGAAACAACAACAACAGAAAAUAGGUGUCUUGAAUGUUGGGAAGUCCUGACAAGAAGAAUACUCCUGAAGACAGUUUCUUCACACACCCCAAACUUUGAAUAAACCACAGAAAUACUCCCAGCUCCUCAUCUCAUAUGUACCUUUUCCUGACCCUUCUCAGGCAUGGAGUGGCUGGUGGGAGAUGGAGGGACAGCUGAUCUAUCACUAUGUCAGAGGAACAUUGGUGAUGAUGAUGAUUCUUACCCCCUGUUCCUUUCCCACUGGUCAUUACAAGGCUGUUCUGGGCAACCGAGGUUGGUAUCACCUGGUGCGGUAAGUCA
Long non-coding RNA from Sceloporus undulatus (fence lizard), 521 nucleotides. RefSeq lists it as uncharacterized. The record is from RefSeq and is a predicted model, not a curated record. The transcript is spliced from 3 exons. NCBI's taxonomy places the organism in Eukaryota, Metazoa, Chordata, Lepidosauria, Squamata, Phrynosomatidae.